Molecule: ribosomal RNA, 245 nt
Filed under: uncultured bacterium
Lineage: Bacteria
Description: partial 16S ribosomal RNA
Rfam family: Bacterial small subunit ribosomal RNA
Source: RNAcentral
UACGGGGGUGGCGAGCGUUACUCGGAUUUAUUGGGUGUAAAGGGCAGGUAGGUGGCUAUGUAAGUUAGGGGUGAAAUCCUUUGGCUUAACCAAAGAACUGCCUCUAAUACUGCAUGGCUUGAGGCUGAAAGAGGAGAAUGGAAUUCCCGGUGUAAGGGUGAAAUCUGUAGAUAUCGGGAAGAACACCCGUGGCGAAAGCGGUUCUCUGGUUCAGCCCUGACGCUGAGCUGCGAAAGCUAGGGUAG